UUGAACGCUGGCGGCAUGCCUUACCCAUGCCAGUCGAACGGCAGCACGGGGGGUAACCCCUGGUGGCGAGUGGCGAACGGGUGAGUAAUAUAUCGGAACGUGUCCUGUAGCGGGGGAUAACCUAUCGAAAGAUGGACUAAUACCGCAUACGACCUACGGGUGAAAGCGGAGGACCGCAAGGCUUCGCACUAUAGGAGCGGCCGAUAUCGGAUUAGCUAGUUGGCGGGGUAACGGCCCACCAAGGCGACGAUCCGUAGCUGGUCUGAGAGGACGAUCAGCCACACUGGAACUGAGACACGGUCCAGACUCCUACGGGAGGCAGCAGUGGGGAAUUUUGGACAAUGGGCGCAAGCCUGAUCCAGCCAUGCCGCGUGAGUGAAGAAGGCCUUCGGGUUGUAAAGCUCUUUCGGCGGGGACGAAACGGUUCGUGCUAAUACCACGGACUACUGACGGUACCCGCAGAAGAAGCACCGGCUAACUACGUG
Molecule: ribosomal RNA, 485 nt
Filed under: uncultured bacterium
Lineage: Bacteria
Description: partial 16S ribosomal RNA
Rfam family: Bacterial small subunit ribosomal RNA
Source: RNAcentral